UUGGAGGGCAAGUCUGGUGCCAGCAGCCGCGGUAAUUCCAGCUCCAAUAGCGUAUAUUAAAGUUGCUGCAGUUAAAAAGCUCGUAGUUGAAUUUCGGGACCAUCAUGUCGGUCGUGCCUCGGUACGUACUGGUAUUGUUGGUUUCUCCCUUCUGACGAACCAUGAUGUCAUUUAUUUGGUGUUGUGGGGAAUCAGGACUGUUACUUUGAAAAAAUUAGAGUGUUUAAAGCAGGCUCACGCUUGAAUACAUUAGCAUGGAAUAAUGAAAUAGGACGUUUGAUUCUAUUUUGUUGGUUUCUAGGAUCGACGUAAUGAUUAAUAGGGAUAGUUGGGGGCAUUAGUAUUCAAUUGUCAGAGGUGAAAUUCUUGGAUUUAUUGAAGACUAACUACUGUGAAAGCAUUUGCCAAGGAUGUUUUCAUUAAUCAAGAACGAAAGUUAGGGGAUCGAAGACGAUCAGAUACCGUCGUAGUCUUAACCAUAAACUAUGCCGACUAGGGAUCGGAUGAUGUUAAUUUUUUAAUGACUCAUUCGGCGCCUUACGGGAAAC
RNAcentral lists this ribosomal RNA (548 nucleotides) under uncultured Glomeromycotina. Its description in RNAcentral is "SSU rRNA". It matches the Rfam family "Eukaryotic small subunit ribosomal RNA", at positions 548 to 1098 of the family's 1831-position model. Lineage: Eukaryota; Fungi; Glomeromycota. The record is from RNAcentral.